Molecule: ribosomal RNA, 418 nt
Filed under: uncultured soil bacterium
Lineage: Bacteria
Description: bacterial SSU rRNA
Rfam family: Bacterial small subunit ribosomal RNA
Source: RNAcentral
AGAUUGAACGCUGGCGGCAGGCCUAACACAUGCAAGUCGAGCGGUAGAGAGGUGCUUGCAUCUCUUGAGAGCGGCGGACGGGUGAGUAAUGCCUAGGAAUCUGCCUAGUGGUGGGGGAUAACGUUCGGAAACGGACGCUAAUACCGCAUACGUCCUACGGGAGAAAGCGGGGGACCUUCGGGCCUCGCGCCAUUAGAUGAGCCUAGGUCGGAUUAGCUAGUUGGUGAGGUAAUGGCUCACCAAGGCGACGAUCCGUAACUGGUCUGAGAGGAUGAUCAGUCACACUGGAACUGAGACACGGUCCAGACUCCGUACGGGAGGCAGCGAGGUGGGAAUAGUUAGGAACAAGUGGGACGAAAGCCUAGACUCCAGCCAUCGCCGCGUGUAGGUAGAAGUAACGGCCGUUAGGAUUAGUAAA